This 253-nucleotide ribosomal RNA is filed under the name uncultured bacterium. RNAcentral describes it as "partial 16S ribosomal RNA". It matches the Rfam family "Bacterial small subunit ribosomal RNA", at positions 524 to 776 of the family's 1533-position model. The record is from RNAcentral.
UACGUAGGGUGCGAGCGUUGUCCGGAAUUAUUGGGCGUAAAGAGCUUGUAGGCGGUUUGUCGCGUCUGCUGUGAAAAUCCGGGGCUCAACCCCGGACUUGCAGUGGGUACGGGCAGACUAGAGUGUGGUAGGGGAGACUGGAGUUCCUGGUGUAGCGGUGGAAUGCGCAGAUAUCAGGAGGAACACCGAUGGCGAAGGCAGGUCUCUGGGCCACUACUGACGCUGAGAAGCGAAAGCAUGGGGAGCGAACAGG